CGCGCACAAUAGGGAAUGGCUGUUAAGUGCACUACAUCAGGAAAGAACGAACGAAAGCAAAGCACCUGCCUAAAUAUAAAAGAGAACUUCACUGGAGUGACUAACAGAUGGCCACGCUGUUGGGGAUUCUGUCUGGAGACAGAUACCAGUAGGGCAGCUCCAGAGUUUCAUUUCGCUUCCUGAUGAU
Molecule: long non-coding RNA, 187 nt
Organism: Danio aesculapii
Lineage: Eukaryota; Metazoa; Chordata; Actinopteri; Cypriniformes; Danionidae
Exons: 3
Source: RefSeq, a predicted model, not a curated record